This 465-nucleotide ribosomal RNA is filed under the name uncultured bacterium. RNAcentral's name for it is "bacterial SSU rRNA". It matches the Rfam family "Bacterial small subunit ribosomal RNA", at positions 10 to 523 of the family's 1533-position model. The record is from RNAcentral.
AGUUUGAUCCUGGCUCAGAGCGAACGCUGGCGGCAGGCUUAACACAUGCAAGUCGAACGCAUCGCAAGAUGAGUGGCAGACGGGUGAGUAACGCGUGGGAACAUACCCUUUUCUACGGAAUAGCUCUGGGAAACUGGAAUUAAUACCGUAUACGCCCUACGGGGGAAAGAUUUAUCGGGGAAGGAUUGGCCCGCGUUGGAUUAGCUAGUUGGUGGGGUAAAGGCCUACCAAGGCGACGAUCCAUAGCUGGUCUGAGAGGAUGAUCAGCCACAUUGGGACUGAGACACGGCCCAAACUCCUACGGGAGGCAGCAGUGGGGAAUAUUGGACAAUGGGCGCAAGCCUGAUCCAGCCAUGCCGCGUGAGUGAUGAAGGCCUUAGGGUUGUAAAGCUCUUUCACCGAUGAAGAUAAUGACGGUAGUCGGAGAAGAAGCCCCGGCUAACUUCGUGCCAGCAGCCGCGGUAA